GCCCCCUCUACAGGGGGCGGGGGAUGGGAUGCAGUUUUCCAGAGUUCUGCUUGUUCCUGUCCAGAAUGCCCAGUGUGCAGGACCGGGGGGGGGACAGGGCUCUUUCCAGUUCUGCCCACUCCUCUGCCAGGCUGAGCCACGGACUGGUCGGUUUUCUCGUGGGCCAGGUGCUGCAUCCCAGGACAGGCAGGAGGGCUGGGCCACCUGCCCAGACCAAGCAGGGACAGGAAGCUGCGGGUGGCUGGGGUGGCUUCCUGCCCCUGCUGCAGAAUCGCGCCCCUCAGGACCGUGCAGGGCUGCAGCUGCCCUACUGUUCCUGCGUUCCCAGGCUGAGGCCCAGCUUCUACCUGGAAACCCCGGCCGGGCCCACGUGGGCACGGGGCAGAGGGCCUUGUGAGGAGGCUGCGUGCAAAGGGGCCGUGAGGACAGGGCCUUAGCUGUUCUGAUCACUGUAACAAGGCUCCACAGGCAGAGGCUCGAAGAUCUGAAACCACGGUCCCCGUCCUAGAGGCCAGAGGCUGAAGAUGGAGGCAUCUGGUGAGGUGGCUGCGUCCCUGCCGCGUCCUCACUGUUGGAGAAAUCCCUCAUCAGCACCUGCAACUUUCAGAAGGGCCCCGAGUCCCCAGAGCCCCUCCCUUGAGACCUCCUCCCCUGCUGAGUUCUAACACAUCACCUCAAGGUGAGCAGCCAGACCUGGAGUCCUCAGCCGAGAACGGGGCC
RNAcentral lists this long non-coding RNA (720 nucleotides) under Marmota monax (woodchuck). The record is from RNAcentral. Lineage: Eukaryota; Metazoa; Chordata; Mammalia; Rodentia; Sciuridae.